GAUCCUGGCUCAGGAUGAACGCUGGCGGCGUGCCUAACACAUGCAAGUCGAGCGAAGCGUUUUAAAGGAAGUUUUCGGAUGGAAUUUGAAAUGACUGAGCGGCGGACGGGUGAGUAACGCGUGGGUAACCUGCCUCAUACAGGGGGAUAACAGUUAGAAAUGACUGCUAAUACCGCAUAAGCACACAGUGCCGCAUGGUACAGUGUGAAAAACUCCGGUGGUAUGAGAUGGACCUGCGU
This 239-nucleotide ribosomal RNA is filed under the name uncultured bacterium. RNAcentral describes it as "partial 16S ribosomal RNA". It matches the Rfam family "Bacterial small subunit ribosomal RNA", at positions 15 to 236 of the family's 1533-position model. The record is from RNAcentral.